This 467-nucleotide ribosomal RNA is filed under the name uncultured bacterium. Its description in RNAcentral is "partial 16S ribosomal RNA". It matches the Rfam family "Bacterial small subunit ribosomal RNA", at positions 28 to 507 of the family's 1533-position model. The record is from RNAcentral.
GACGAACGCUGGCGGCGCGCUUAACACAUGCAAGUCGAACGGAAAGGCCCCGCUUGGGUGUGGUUCUCGAGGCGCGAACGGGUGAGAAACACGUGAAUCACCUGCCCUUGACUGUGGGAGAACUUCAGAAACCUGGGGCAAACACCAGACUGGAGCUCCUCCGCCUGGGUGGCGCGUGAAAGCUCCGGCGGGUGGGGAUGGGCCCGCGGCCUGUUCGCCUGUUGGGGGGGUUAGGGCCUACCCAGGCAUUGGGGGGGAGCCGGGCUGAGGGGGCGACCGGCCAGAUUGGGACUGAGAUACGGCCCAGACUCCUACGGGAGGCAGCAGUGGGGAAUCUUGCACAAUGGGCGGAAGCCUGAUGCAGCAACGCCGCGUGCGGGAUGAAGGCCUUCGGGUUGUAAACCGCUUUCGGCUGGGACGAAGCGUGAGUGACGGUAACGGGUAAAGAAGCACCGGCUAACUACGUG